CGAUGAGGUAGAGGAGCAGAUCCUCAUUAGUACGUGUUGGGAGAAUGACACCAAUGAUCAGCAUCGAAAGGGAGAUCUGCCGAAGCAAGAAUAAUUGUCACGUUAUUUUUGUUGGGGCGGCAUUGAAUAAAUGUCGAACUGUCAUUAUAAGUCUAACUUGUAAUGGUGAACUACUGAUCGG
This is a non-coding RNA of 181 nucleotides. It matches the Rfam family "Lysine riboswitch aptamer". Rfam says of the family: Riboswitches are metabolite binding domains within certain messenger RNAs that serve as precision sensors for their corresponding targets. Allosteric rearrangement of mRNA structure is mediated by ligand binding, and this results in modulation of gene expression.